RNAcentral lists this ribosomal RNA (357 nucleotides) under uncultured bacterium. Its description in RNAcentral is "bacterial SSU rRNA". It matches the Rfam family "Bacterial small subunit ribosomal RNA", at positions 372 to 725 of the family's 1533-position model. The record is from RNAcentral.
UGGGCGAAAGCCNGACGCAGCAACGCCGCGUGGUAGGAUGAAGGCCUUCGGGUCGUAAACUCCUGUCAGUAGGGACGAAUGCUUCGCAAGUAAGUUUGACUGUACCUGCUGAGGAAGCCACGGCUAACUCCGUGCCAGCAGCCGCGGUAAUACGGAGGUGGCAAGCGUUGUUCGGAAUUACUGGGCGUAAAGGGCGCGUANGCGGCUUGGCAAGUCAGAUGUGAAAGCCCCGGGCUUAACUCGGGAAUUGCAUCUUGAAACUGCUUAGCUUGAGUCCUGGAUGGGAUAGUGGAAUUCCCAGUGUUAGCGGUGAAAUGCCUUAAAUAUUGGGAAAGAACACCCUGCGGCGAAGGCGGC